UAAAAAGAGGGAGAAGAGGUUGAGACCAGGAGGUCGUACCUCCUGGUUGGUGUCGCAUGAAGGGGGAAAAACCCUAAAUAUGAGGUCAAUUUCACAAAUUGAAGAAGAUUUAACAAGAUUAAAGCAUGUUAUUAUCAUCCUUUCUUGAUUUCUAUGGCCAAUCUUUGACGAUUAACAAGCUAGGUGAAAGCUUGGGAACGAAGCGGGUCAAACAAAGCAAGAAUGACGGAAAAGCAUAAUCUGGAUGUGCUAACCGAGUUACCGGAAGACGAUCAAGCUCCGCAAGGAACCGAACACAUAAAGAACAAAGCUUCCGCGAACAGUUUUGUCGUUAUGUUUUAAAAGGUGACUCAAAUUCCUAAAUGUUGAAAUGUUUUAUUUAGUAAAAUGUUUUA
RNAcentral lists this long non-coding RNA (395 nucleotides) under Helianthus annuus (common sunflower). RNAcentral describes it as "sRNA HanXRQr2_Chr11g0473441". Lineage: Eukaryota; Viridiplantae; Streptophyta; Magnoliopsida; Asterales; Asteraceae. The record is from RNAcentral.